This 493-nucleotide ribosomal RNA is filed under the name uncultured bacterium. Its description in RNAcentral is "partial 16S ribosomal RNA". It matches the Rfam family "Bacterial small subunit ribosomal RNA", at positions 28 to 507 of the family's 1533-position model. The record is from RNAcentral.
GACGAACGCUGGCGGCGUGCUUAACACAUGCAAGUCGAACGGUGAAGGGACCGGUUUUUGCUGGUUCUGGAUGAGUGGCGAACGGGUGAGUAACACGUGAGUAACCUGCCCCCUUCUUCUGGAUAACCGCAUGAAAGUGUGGCCAAUACGGGAUAUUCUGCGCCUGCUGCAUGGUGGGUGUGGGAAAGAUAUUGUUUCGGUGGGGGAUGGGCUCGCGGCCUAUCAGCUUGUUGGUGGGGUGAUGGCCUACCAAGGCGGUGACGGGUAGCCGGCCUGAGAGGGUGGACGGUCACACUGGGACUGAGACACGGCCCAGACUCCUACGGGAGGCAGCAGUGGGGAAUAUUGCACAAUGGGCGCAAGCCUGAUGCAGCGACGCCGCGUGAGGGAUGGAGGCCUUCGGGUUGUAAACCUCUUUCGCCAGUGAAGCAGGCCUGUCCCUUUUGUGGGUGGGUUGACGGUAGCUGGAUAAGAAGCGCCGGCUAACUACGUG